Molecule: ribosomal RNA, 435 nt
Filed under: uncultured bacterium
Lineage: Bacteria
Description: partial 16S ribosomal RNA
Rfam family: Bacterial small subunit ribosomal RNA
Source: RNAcentral
GAUGAACGCUGGCGGUAUGCUUAACACAUGCAAGUCGAACGGACACUUCGGAGUUAGUGGCGGAGGGGGGAGGAACGCGUGGGAAUCUGGCUUUGGGUUCGGGACAACUACUGGAAACGGUGGCUAAUACCGGAUGGGCCGAGAGGUAAAAGAGGAAUUGCCUGAAGAUGAGCUCGCGUCUUAUUAGGUAGUUGGUGAGGUAAAGGCUCACCAAGGCAGCGAUCAGUAGGUGGUUUGAGGGGAUAACCAGCCACACUGGGACUGAGACACGGCCGAGACUCCUACGGGAGGCAGCAGUGGGAAAUUUUCCGCAAGGGGCGAGAGCGUGACGGAGCAAUACCGCGUGAGAGAAGAAGGCUCUUGGGGUGUAACGCUCUUUUCUUAGGGAAGAACAAAGUGACGGUACCUAAGGAAUCAGCAUCGGCUAACUACGUG